This 460-nucleotide ribosomal RNA is filed under the name uncultured bacterium. RNAcentral's name for it is "partial 16S ribosomal RNA". It matches the Rfam family "Bacterial small subunit ribosomal RNA", at positions 338 to 795 of the family's 1533-position model. The record is from RNAcentral.
CCUACGGGAGGCAGCCGUGAGGAAUAUUGGUCAAUGGACGAGAGUCUGAACCAGCCAAGUAGCGUGAAGGAUGACUGCCCUAUGGGUUGUAAACUUCUUUUAUAUGGGAAUAACAUGUUCUACGUGUGGGACUUUGUAUGUACCAUAUGAAUAAGGACCGGCUAAUUCCGUGCCAGCAGCCGCGGUAAUACGGAGGAUCCGAGCGUUAUCCGGAUUUAUUGGGUUUAAAGGGAGCGUAGGUGGAUUGUUAAGUCAGUUGUGAAAGUUUGCGGCUCAACCGUAACAUUGCAGUUGAAACUGGCAGUCUUGAGUACAGGAGAGGUGGGCGGAAUUCGUGGUGUAGCGGUGAAAUGCUUAGAUAUCACGAAGAACUCCGAUUGCGAAGGCAGCUCACUGGACUGCAACUGACACUGAGGCUCGAAAGUGUGGGUAUCAAACAGGAUUAGAUACCCUUGUAGUC